RNAcentral lists this unclassified non-coding RNA (213 nucleotides) under plant metagenome. RNAcentral's name for it is "partial contains small subunit ribosomal RNA, internal transcribed spacer 1, and 5.8S ribosomal RNA". The record is from RNAcentral.
UUUCCGUAGGUGAACCUGCGGAAGGAUCAUUCAUAAUAAGUGUUUUAUGGCACUUUUUUAAAUCCAUAUCCACCUUGUGUGCAAUGUCAGGGAUGAUUUUUCUCUCGAGAGGAUCAACCCCAAACAUCAACUAUAUCUCAACUCUUUGUCUGAAAAAUAUUAUGAAUAAAACAAUUCAAAAUACAACUUUCAACAACGGAUCUCUUGGCUCUC